This 53-nucleotide ribosomal RNA is filed under the name Aspergillus terreus. Its description in RNAcentral is "partial 28S ribosomal RNA". The record is from RNAcentral. Lineage: Eukaryota; Fungi; Ascomycota; Eurotiomycetes; Eurotiales; Aspergillaceae.
GUUGACCUCGGAUCACGAAUACAGACUACUGACGCAUAUCAAUAAGCGGAGGA